This 345-nucleotide unclassified non-coding RNA is filed under the name soil metagenome. RNAcentral's name for it is "partial contains 5.8S ribosomal RNA, internal transcribed spacer 2, and large subunit ribosomal RNA". The stretch from base 1 to 119 matches the Rfam family "5.8S ribosomal RNA", at positions 35 to 154 of the family's 154-position model. The record is from RNAcentral.
GAUGAAGAACGUAGCGAAAUGCGAUACGUAAUGUGAAUUGCAAAUUCAGUGAAUCAUCGAGUCUUUGAACGCACAUUGCGCCCCCUGGUAUUCCGGGGGGCAUGCCUGUCCGAGCGUCAUUGCUGCCCUCAAGCACGGCUUGUGUGUUGGGCCCCGUCCUCCGAUCCCGGGGGACGGGCCCGAAAGGCAGCGGCGGCACCGCGUCCGGUCCUCGAGCGUAUGGGGCUUUGUCACCCGCUCUGUAGGCCCGGCCGGCGCUUGCCGAUCAACCCAAAUUUUUAUCCAGGUUGGCCUCGGAUCAGGUAGGGAUACCCGCUGAACUUAAGCAUAUCAAUAAGCGGAGGA